AGUGAACGCUGGCGGUAGGCCUAACACAUGCAAGUCGAACGGCAGCACAGUAAGAGCUUGCUCUUACGGGUGGCGAGUGGCGGACGGGUGAGGAAUACAUCGGAAUCUACUUUUUCGUGGGGGAUAACGUAGGGAAACUUACGCUAAUACCGCAUACGACCUACGGGUGAAAGCAGGGGAUCUUCGGACCUUGCGCGAUUGAAUGAGCCGAUGUCGGAUUAGCUAGUUGGCGGGGUAAAGGCCCACCAAGGCGACGAUCCGUAGCUGGUCUGAGAGGAUGAUCCGCCACACUGGAACUGAGACACGGUCCAGCCCCCUACGGGAGGCAGCAGGGGGGAAUUUUGGAAAAUGGGCGCAAGCCUGAUCCAGCCAAACCGGGGGGGUGAAGAAGGCCUUCGGGUUGUAAAGCCCUUUUGUUGGGAAAAAAAAGCAGCAGGUUAAUACCCCGCUGUUUUGACGGUACCCAAAGAAUAAGCACCGGCCAACUUCGU
RNAcentral lists this ribosomal RNA (491 nucleotides) under uncultured bacterium. RNAcentral describes it as "partial 16S ribosomal RNA". It matches the Rfam family "Bacterial small subunit ribosomal RNA", at positions 29 to 506 of the family's 1533-position model. The record is from RNAcentral.